GCGCGAUUUAUUUUGACACUCACUGACAGACGAUGAAGACGGUGUGAUGCCACUUUGCCAGUAGGCCUAAUUCGAAGAUGAAUAGUAUACAACUUAAGUGUUAUGCACACAUGUAUCGUGAUGGUAUGUGUGAAGGAGACAUACGACCAGCCAGUGAUAAAUCUUGGGCAGACUUUCUACGAAGUGUGCAGGUGUGGAAGACCGUAUCUGCACCCGGUGCUUCGUAUCUAUUCCUUCCUGUAUGGCACCGGGAAGCAGCCCGCGUGGCCAGAGCUUUCCUUGAUGGGUACCCCCUCGGCGUCGUUGUUGAGGAAAUGCCCAUUCCUGUAAACGCUGGCUUUCAUCGCCAAUGCUACACUUCUUUCACCUCUUAUUCAUUGGACAGGCAUGACAGGAGCGCAGUGAUCGAUAUAGGCCUAGAGAGACAAGACCAAAAACAACAAAACCAGACAACCGAAAUGCCUCCCGUCACACCGGCUGAGCAGUCACAGACACAAGGUUAUAAUAAUAGUCUCCCAAACCCCACGCCAAUGGCCAACGACGUGGGUAACUAUGAGACUCUAUGUACGGUGCGAGGAAGCAUCAUGUACACCAGUAUUGAGACUGGCCUGAUUAGCUGGAAGACUGGCAGCCUAGAAUUGGCCACUACGCCAACGGGACAGGUGGUCUGCUUGGUCAAUUUCGACAAUGGCCCCUCCAAAAAAAUUGUGGUGACCAAUCAGAUUAGAGGAGUGGUCUUCAAUCACAAUGUACCCCGAUGCAGCAUUGGUCUUGCCAAUGGGACCACCAUCAGUUGGACCGCCAAAGUCAACGGAAAAAUCACACGUGUUAACCCCCCGGCUGAUGUCGCUCGCCUCGCUGAUCUGCUGAACGACUUACGCGAAGAACGGAAGAGAGGUAUGGCCAGUCAGGAUCAUUCAGGCUCUGGAUCUGCCACAAAGAAGAGUCCUUUAAUUAAGACCGAGUCGAGCCAGGAGGAAACAGCGAGAUCUGAUGCAUCUGGUGGUAAUAGUCCUCCCCACCCAACGACAGUGGCCAACGACGUGGGUAACUAUAAGACGCUAUGUACGGUGCAAGGAAGCAUCAAGUACACCAGCAUUGAAACCGGCCAGGCUAGCUGGAAGACUGGCAGCCUAGAAUUGGCCACUUCGCCAACGGGACAGGUGGUCUGCUCGGUCAAUUUCAAAAUUGGCCCCUCCAAAAAAUGUGUGGUGACCAAUCAGAUUAGAGGAGUGAUCUUCAAUCACAACGUACCCCGAUGCAGCAUCGGUCUUGCCAAUGGGGCCCACAUCAGUUGGACCACCAAAGUCAACGGAAAAAUCACACAUGUUAACCCCCUGGCCGAUGUCGCUCGCUUCGCUGAUCUCCUGAACGACUUACACGAAGAACGGAAGAGAGGUAAUGCAAGUCAGGAUCAUUCAGGCUCUGCAUCCGCCACAGAGAGGAGUCCUUUACUUCGGUUUGGGUCGAGAUUGAGCCAGGAGGGAACGGCGAGAUCUUCGCACCUUUGGUCGGACACCUGCGUUAUUUGCCAAGGUACUCAGAACAAGAGGGAUAACCACUCUGGUUUAAGACGGAAGGAACCCCUCACGGUGUGUGAGCAAAUUGAUGGUGGUGCUCUUCUGACCGCUGCAAGGCUGAAGAAAGAUGAAGAUUUGCUUCUUCACAUUGAAAAUAAAGACUGCGUAGCGAUCGGACUGAAAUACCACAGAUCCUGCCUUAUGGAAUACACAUCAAUCCCUAAAAACCCAGAAGGAAGUGAACCACCAGUGCCCCUCUAUGACAAAGCCUUCAAGGUCUUCUGUGCAGAUACCAUUGAUCGGCUUCUCUUUCAGGACAAAAAUGUCUUCAGGAUGACCAAGCUGAAAAGAAUCUUUGAUAGAACUGUACAGGAAGUCGAGGACCAGGAUUCAUCAGGAUACAGGACAUCGUCCCUGAAGGACAGACUGAUCAAGUCAUAUCCGCAGCUGUGUUUCUUGAAACCAAAGACGACGAACAUUUGCGAGUUGGUGUAUGCCGACAGCUUGACCAGAGAAGAUCUUAUUGAAGAUUUGACCACUCUGAAAGAAUCCGUAAGGAAAGAGGAAUCUGAUUCUGAUUCCAGCUCGGGUAUGCAGGAAGCCAAUGAGCAGUCAUCCACUCCUUCAUGGAAGUCCAGUAGGGACCACAUGUGGACCUGCAACCGCGUCGGUAUUUUGCGAGACCGCUAUUCAACUGCCCUUGACAUUAAGAGAGACAUCGCCAGCAUUCCAUCUAACCACGACCCAUGGCCCCCAACGUCCUUGAACCUUACUGUGGAUGAUGCCCGUCGUAUCGUCCCAACGAAGUUGUUUAACUUCUUGGCAUGGAUUGUAGGCAGCUCGGAUGACCCAAAAGAAGAUGAAAUGGUCAAAGUAGUAGAUGGAGAUGAACGAAAGAUACUCGCCAUGGCCCUGGAUGUUAUUUACAUGGCAACGAGGGAGAAGUCAGCACCAACGGAUGCGUCCUCUGCGAAAGCAUUUUAAUUUCAAACUUCGAGCCAUUUUCUGAGUAUCAGCUCCCAAAAGUGCCCACACAUAUGAAGUGGAAUAGUGUAUGAUAAAUGAGUACUCGUAAAGAACAUUGCAGCUCAGAUCAAUAGGGUCAUCCCUCAAGCGUUGUCUGAGCUCUGACAUACUGUUGUAGAACUUAGCUCACCUCUCCUAGUACCUGUCCAGAAUGUACCACACAACAUAUACCACCUACAUGUUCAAGUACAAUCCAAAUCCCUUUGAGGGGUGCCAUUACAUCUGGUGUACUGUGGUGAUGAUCUGUUCAACUUCCUUUGUCUUUGCAACAUGUACAUACGUUAUCUCUAUUAUAUUUGGUUGUUUUCUGGAGACUUUUAUACUAUACAUAUUUAGUUUACAACUGUUUUGUUUACCAACAAUGCUUAAAGUACUUUUUUUUAACUGUACACCAAAGAAGAGAAUAACAAGUUUUUUGGCUUGAUGCAGGCUUGAAUGAUGCAGAUUUGUUUAAAAUGAAACAAGCCAAUUUGAGUUACACUAAAUAACAGGUAGUGUAAUUUUAAUGUCAUUUCAUGUAUGACAUCUUAAAUCUUCAACAGGUUUCACAAAGGCAACCAUUACAUGUUGUAUUUUUAUGUUCGAUGCAGUCUUCUGAAUGAUGGACAAGUGUGUGACAAUAAAAGAAAGGCAUAAGCCCCAAUUCUAGUAA
Molecule: unclassified non-coding RNA, 3198 nt
Filed under: Patiria miniata (bat star)
Lineage: Eukaryota; Metazoa; Echinodermata; Asteroidea; Valvatida; Asterinidae
Description: uncharacterized LOC119741498, transcript variant X1
Source: RNAcentral